This 147-nucleotide ribosomal RNA is filed under the name Amphipyra tragopoginis. RNAcentral describes it as "partial large subunit ribosomal RNA". The record is from RNAcentral. Lineage: Eukaryota; Metazoa; Arthropoda; Insecta; Lepidoptera; Noctuidae.
UUUUAUAAAUAAAUUUAUUAAGAUUAUUUAUAAAUUUAAAAAUUAAAAUUAAUUUAUUUAUUUUAUUGGGGUGAUAGAAAAAUAUGAAAAACUUUUUUUAAAAUAAAACAUAUAUAAGUGAAUAAAUGAUCCAAUUAUAUUGAUUAU